Molecule: small nucleolar RNA, 137 nt
Filed under: Catagonus wagneri (Chacoan peccary)
Lineage: Eukaryota; Metazoa; Chordata; Mammalia; Artiodactyla; Tayassuidae
Description: Small nucleolar RNA SNORA4 (ENSCWAG00000012288.1)
Rfam family: Small nucleolar RNA SNORA4
About the family: ACA4 is a member of the H/ACA class of snoRNA that guide the sites of modification of uridines to pseudouridines.
Source: Rfam by way of RNAcentral
CUACUAAAUGUUGGUUUUGAGGGGAAGAUUUUUCAUCAUCUUUGUCAGCUCAAGCUAUGUAGGGGAAUAAAACCAUACUCCACAGUGAGCUGUGUGAUUUAUGUGCUGUUCAUUACUAUUUUGUGCUCUGAAAAAUU